Molecule: unclassified non-coding RNA, 573 nt
Filed under: Bombus terrestris (buff-tailed bumblebee)
Lineage: Eukaryota; Metazoa; Arthropoda; Insecta; Hymenoptera; Apidae
Description: misc RNA ENSBTSG00005024009.1
Source: RNAcentral
AAACGAUACUAUCACAGACUUAAGUAAAAACGAUAGAGUUAGAUCGAGCUUAUCAAGCUAUUAAAAAUGUUUAUUCUGUCACGCUAUAAAACUCGAUCAUAAAACCUCGAAAUUCGCUCUUGGAUCGAGUUUCAUUUAUCGAGCGUGCUACACCAAAACACGAGACCUUCGCUCCAGUUAGAAUACAUUUCUGCGUCGCCUUUGAUCAGUAAAUCGAUGUAGUAGUAUUAGAUUAAAGGAAUUGAAAACUGAGUGGAGCUGAUUAGGAAAGUUGGGAGUAAUUCUCGAUCUCGCGCUAACUCCUCAAAUUGGACGUCCGGGUUUCCCACUGUUCAUUGGACCUGUCGUUCGCUUGUGUGUUUCCGUUUCGUGUCCGCCACCACCAAGAUGGGUUACGAGAAGUUAAAGGGCAUCCACGAUCAACGCGUGAUUCGAACAGUAGCCUAGGCGGACAUUUGGAAAUUUUAGUGGCCAUAAGCUCUCUGUGUGGCUAUCGAGAUUACAUAGACAAAGACCGUGACUCAUAUUCCACAGUGUUUUCAUUGCCUUGAAAAUAAAGGGAACCUGUAACCA